UGGACUGGUAAUGGGUAAAAGUCGUAACAAGGUCUCCGUUGGUGAACCAGCGGAGGGAUCAUUACAGAGUUGCAAAACUCCCUAAACCAUUGUGAACGUUACCUAAACCGUUGCUUCGGCGGGCGGCCCCGGGGUUUACCCCCCGGGCGCCCCUGGGCCCCACCGCGGGCGCCCGCCGGAGGUCACCAAACUCUUGAUAAUUUAUGGCCUCUCUGAGUCUUCUGUACUGAAUAAGUCAAAACUUUCAACAACGGAUCUCUUGGUUCUGGCAUCGAUGAAGAACGCAGCGAAAUGCGAUAAGUAAUGUGAAUUGCAGAAUUCAGUGAAUCAUCGAAUCUUUGAACGCACAUUGCGCCCGCCAGUAUUCUGGCGGGCAUGCCUGUUCGAGCGUCAUUUCAACCAUCAAGCCCCGGGCUUGUGUUGGGGACCUGCGGCUGCCGCAGGCCCUGAAAAGCAGUGGCGGGCUCGCUGUCACACCGAGCGUAGUAGCAUACAUCUCGCUCUGGGCGUGCUGCGGGUUCCGGCCGUUAAACCACCUUUUAACCCAAGGUUGACCUCGGAUCAGGUAGGAAGACCCGCUGAACUUAAGCA
This 591-nucleotide ribosomal RNA is filed under the name uncultured fungus. RNAcentral's name for it is "eukaryotic LSU rRNA". The stretch from base 240 to 393 matches the Rfam family "5.8S ribosomal RNA". Lineage: Eukaryota; Fungi. The record is from RNAcentral.